RNAcentral lists this RNase P RNA (426 nucleotides) under Deltaproteobacteria bacterium. Its description in RNAcentral is "RNase P RNA component class A". It matches the Rfam family "Bacterial RNase P class A". From Rfam's summary of the family: Ribonuclease P (RNase P) is a ubiquitous endoribonuclease, found in archaea, bacteria and eukarya as well as chloroplasts and mitochondria. Its best characterised activity is the generation of mature 5'-ends of tRNAs by cleaving the 5'-leader elements of precursor-tRNAs. Cellular RNase Ps are ribonucleoproteins. Lineage: Bacteria; Pseudomonadati; Myxococcota; Myxococcia. The record is from RNAcentral.
CGAAGGGGUCGGAUGAUCGCUUCCCAACACCCUAAGUUAGGGUGAAGGGGGGAGGAAAGUCCGAGCUCCACAGGGCAAGGUGGUCCGUAACACGGACUGUUCCAUCUCGUAAGGGAUGGAAUAAGGAAAGUGCCACAGAAAAGAUACCGUCCCGCUUUAGGCGGGAUAAGGGUGAAAAGGCGAGGUAAGAGCUCACCAGUAUUCUGAGCGAUCAGAAUAGCUUGGCAAACCCCACCUGGAGCAAGACCAAAUAGGUCCCGUUCUUCUGCGAAAGCAGAAGGGAGAAUGGCCCGUUCAACUUCAUUCUCAUUGGAGUGGAGACGGGACGGGUUGGUCGCUGGAGAUCCUGAGUAAUCAGGAUCCAAGAUAAAUGAUCAUCCCCCUCGAGGAGGGAGACAGAACUCGGCUUACAGACCCCUUCGAUUU